RNAcentral lists this ribosomal RNA (1491 nucleotides) under uncultured Bordetella sp. Its description in RNAcentral is "partial 16S-23S ribosomal RNA intergenic spacer". It matches the Rfam family "Bacterial small subunit ribosomal RNA". Lineage: Bacteria; Pseudomonadati; Pseudomonadota; Betaproteobacteria; Burkholderiales; Alcaligenaceae. The record is from RNAcentral.
AGUUUGAUCAUGGCUCAGAUUGAACGCUGGCGGGAUGCUUUACACAUGCAAGUCGAACGGCAGCACGGACUUCGGUCUGGUGGCGAGUGGCGAACGGGUGAGUAAUGUAUCGGAACGUGCCUAGUAGCGGGGAUAACUACGCGAAAGCGUAGCUUUAAUACCGCAUGCGCCCUUCGGGGAAAGCGGGGGACCUUUCGGGCCUCGCACUAUUAGAGCGGCCGAUAUCGGAUUAGCUAGUUGGUGGGUAACGGCUCACCAAGGCGACGAUCCGUAGCUGGUUUGAGAGGACGACCAGCCACACUGGGACUGAGACACGGCCCAGACUCCUACGGAGGCAAGUGGGGAAUUUUGACAAUGGGGGAAACCCUGAUCCAGCCAUCCUGCGUGUGCGAUGAAGCGCCUUCGGGUUGUAAAGCACUUUUGGCAGGAAGAAACGGCACGGGAUAAUACCCUCGCAACUGACGGUACCUGCAGAAUAAGCACCGGCUAACUACGUGCCAGCAGCCGCGGUAAUACGUAGGGUGCAAGCGUUAAUCGGAAUUACUGGGCGUAAAGCGUGCGCAGGCGGUUCGAAAGAAAGAUGUGAAAUCCCAGAGCUGAAUUGAACUGCAUUUUUUAACUACCGAGCUAGAGUGUGUCAGAGGGAGGUGGAAUUCCCGCGUGUAGCAGUGAAAUGCGUAGAUAUGCGGAGGAACACCGAUGGCGAAGGCAGCCUCCUGGGAUAACACUGACGCUCAUGCACGAAAGCGUGGGGAGCAAACAGGAUUAGAUACCCUGGUAGUCCACGCCCUAAACGAUGUCAACUAGCUGUUGGGGCCUUCGGGCCUUGGUAGCGCAGCUAACGCGUGAAGUUGACCGCCUUUGGGGAGUACGGUCGCAAGAUUAAAACUCAAAGGAAUUGAUUUGGGACCUGCACAAGCGGUGGAUGAUGUGGAUUAAUCUGGAUGCAACGCGAAAAACCUUACCUACCCUUGACAUGUCUGGAAUCCCGAAGAGAUUUGGGAGUGCUCGCAAGAGAACCGGAACACAGGUGCUGCAUGGCUGUCGUCAGCUCGUGUCGUGAGAUGUUGGGUUAAGUCCCGCAACGAGCGCAACUCCUUGUCAUUAGUUGCUACGAAAGGGCACUCUAAUGAGACUGCCGGCAGACAACCGGAGGAAGGCAGUGGGGAUGACGUCAAGCUCAUGGCAUUCUUAUGGGUAGGGCUUCACACGUCAUACAAUGGUCGGGACAGAGGGUCGCCAACCCGCGAGGGGGAGCCAAUCCCAGAAAACCCGAUCGUAGUCCGGAUCGCAGUCUGCAACUCGACUGCGUGAAGUCGGAAUCGCUAGUAAUCGCGGAUCAGCAUGUCGCGGUGAAUACGUUCCCGGGUCUUGCGGCCACACCGCCCGUCACACCAUGGGAGUGGGUUUUACCAGAAGUAGUUAGCCUAACCGUAAGGAGGGCGAUUACCACGGUAGGAUUCAUGACUGGGUGAAGUCGUAACAAGGUAG